RNAcentral lists this ribosomal RNA (208 nucleotides) under uncultured bacterium. RNAcentral describes it as "partial 16S ribosomal RNA". It matches the Rfam family "Bacterial small subunit ribosomal RNA", at positions 568 to 775 of the family's 1533-position model. The record is from RNAcentral.
CUCGUAGGCGGUUCGUCGCGUCCGGUGUGAAAGUCCAUCGCUUAACGGUGGAUCCGCGCCGGGUACGGGCGGGCUUGAGUGCGGUAGGGGAGACUGGAAUUCCCGGUGUAACGGUGGAAUGUGUAGAUAUCGGGAAGAACACCAAUGGCGAAGGCAGGUCUCUGGGCCGUCACUGACGCUGAGGAGCGAAAGCGUGGGGAGCGAACAA